Molecule: ribosomal RNA, 265 nt
Filed under: uncultured archaeon
Lineage: Archaea
Description: partial 16S ribosomal RNA
Rfam family: Archaeal small subunit ribosomal RNA
Source: RNAcentral
AGACGUCUACAUUAGAUACCCGUGUAGUCCCAGCCCUAAACGAUGCGCGUUAGGUGUAUCGGUGACCACGAGUCACCGAGGUGCCGAAGGGAAACCGUGAAACGUGCCGCCUGGGAAGUACGGUCGCAAGGCUGAAACUUAAAGGAAUUGGCGGGGGAGCACCGCAACGGGAGGAGCGUGCGGUUCAAUUGGAUUCAACGCCGGACAACUCACCAGGAGCGACGGUUACAUGAAGGCCAGGCUAAUGACCUUGCCUGAUUUUCCG